GGCUUAACACAUGCAAGUCGAACGCCCCGCAAGGGGAGUGGCAGACGGGUGAGUAACGCGUGGGAAUCUACCCAGAUCUACGGAACAACUGAGGGAAACUUCAGCUAAUACCGUAUACGCCCUACGGGGGAAAGAUUUAUCGGAUUUGGAUGAGCCCGCGUUGGAUUAGCUAGUUGGUGAGGUAACGGCUCACCAAGGCGACGAUCCAUAGCUGGUCUGAGAGGAUGAUCAGCCACACUGGGACUGAGACACGGCCCAGACUCCUACGGGAGGCAGCAGUGGGGAAUAUUGGACAAUGGGCGCAAGCCUGAUCCAGCCAUGCCGCGUGAGUGAUGAAGGCCUUAGGGUUGUAAAGCUCUUUCAGUGGGGACGAUAAUGACGGUACCCACAGAAGAAGCCCCGGCUAACUUCGUGCCAGCAGCCGCGGUAAUACGAAGGGGGCUAGCGUUGUUCGGAUUUACUGGGCGUAAAGCGCACGUAGGCGGAUCGUUAAGUCGGGGGUGAAAUCCUGGAGCUCAACUCCAGAACUGCCUUCGAUACUGGCGAUCUUGAGUCCGGAAGAGGUGAGUGGAACUCCUAGUGUAGAGGUGGAAUUCGUAGAUAUUAGGAAGAACACCAGUGGCGAAGGCGG
This 631-nucleotide ribosomal RNA is filed under the name uncultured Alphaproteobacteria bacterium. RNAcentral describes it as "bacterial SSU rRNA". It matches the Rfam family "Bacterial small subunit ribosomal RNA", at positions 45 to 724 of the family's 1533-position model. The record is from RNAcentral. Lineage: Bacteria; Pseudomonadati; Pseudomonadota; Alphaproteobacteria.